UACGUAGGGUGCGAGCGUUGUCCGGAAUUAUUGGGCGUAAAGAGCUCGUAGGCGACUUGUCGCGUCGGAUGUGAAAGCCCGGGGCUUAACUCCGGGUCUGCAUUCGAUACGGGCAGGCUAGAGUUCGGUAGGGGAGAUCGGAAUUCCUGGUGUAGCGGUGAAAUGCGCAGAUAUCAGGAGGAACACCGGUGGCGAAGGCGGAUCUCUGGGCCGAUACUGACGCUGAGGAGCGAAAGCGUGGGGAGCGAACAGG
This 253-nucleotide ribosomal RNA is filed under the name uncultured bacterium. Its description in RNAcentral is "partial 16S ribosomal RNA". It matches the Rfam family "Bacterial small subunit ribosomal RNA", at positions 524 to 776 of the family's 1533-position model. The record is from RNAcentral.